GGGUGAGUAACACGUAGGGAACCUGCCCGUGCACCGGGAAUACGCUCUGGAAACGGAGAACAAAUCCCGAUGUACAGGAAGGAGGCAUCUUCUUUCUGUGAAACAUCCUUUAGGGGAUGGGGCGCGGAUGGACCUGCGGUGCAUUAGUUGGUUGGCGGGGUAAAGGCCCACCAAGACGAUGAUGCAUAGCCGGCCUGAGAGGGCGGACGGCCACAUUGGGACUGAGACACGGCCCAGACUCCUGCGGGAGGCAGCAGUAGGGAAUUUUCGUCAAUGGGCGCAAGCCUGAACGAGCGAUGCCGCGUGAGUGAAGAAGGCCUUCGGGUCGUAAAGCUCUGUUGCGGGGGAAAAAAGGCAGCAUCAGGAAAUGGGUGCUGACUGAUGGUGCCCCGCCAGAAAGUCACGGCUAACUACGUGCCAGCAGCCGCGGUAAUACGUAGGUGGCGAGCGUUAUCCGGAAUGAUUGGGCGUAAAGGGUGCGCAGGCGGUCCUGCAAGUCUGGAGUGAAGCGCAUGAGCUCAACUCAUGCAUGGCUUUGGAAACUGGAGGACUGGAGAGCAGGAGAGGGCGGUGGAACUCCAUGUGUAGCGGUAAAAUGCGUAGAUAUAUGGAAGAACACCAGUGGCGAAGGCGGCCGCCUGGCCUGUUGCUGACGCUGAGGCACGAAAGCGUGGGGAGCAAAUAGGAUUAGAUACCCUAGUAGUCCACGCCGUAAACGAUGAGGACCAAGUGUUGGGG
Molecule: ribosomal RNA, 738 nt
Filed under: uncultured bacterium
Lineage: Bacteria
Description: bacterial SSU rRNA
Rfam family: Bacterial small subunit ribosomal RNA
Source: RNAcentral